AUGCUAGUAAUCAAGAUCUACAAAAAAUACUUCCAACACAGCGCAGAAACAAUUCAUAGGAAGAUAAACAGGAUUUUUGACUUAAUUCCAACUCUAGCCCAAAGAUUUAUAAAGAUUCCAAGUUCACUCCAGCCCCACCCGAAGAUUGUUUCGAACAACCGCUAUUGGCCUUAUUUCCAGAACUGCAUUGGUGCUAUAGAUGGAACACAUAUCCCCAUCACUAUUGCUGAAGAUAAGGCCCCCCCAUUUAGGAAUAGGAAAGGAACCCUCUCACAGAAUGUCAUGGUUGCAUGUGAUUUUGAUCUGAAUUUCACAUUUAUUUCAUGUGGGUGGGAAGGGUCUGCAUCAGAUGCAGGAGUUCUUCGUUCUGCUAUUAGCAAGGGGUUUCAUGUGCCAGAUGGAAAAUUUUAUCUCGUAGAUGGUGGAUAUGCAAACACGCCUUCUUUUCUUGCACCAUAUCGAGGAGUUCGGUAUCACCUGAGUGAAUUUAGGAGGCGGCGCUCAUCUAAUACGGGCUAUGCCGACCAUAGGGAGUUGUUCAACCAUACCCAUGCAAUCCUCCGGAACCACAUCGAAAGGAGCAUUGGUGUUCUGAAAAAACGUUUCCCUAUCUUGAAAGUGGGCAAUCACUACCCAAUAGAGUCACGAAUCAAGAUUCCGGCGGCAUGUGCUGUAUUCCAUAACAUCAUUAGAGCUCAAAGUGGUGAUGAGGCAUGGUUGGAUCACCAACCACCGUUAAUUCCACCAGAAACAUAUGUUGAUGUUCCAGAGGGAGAUGAUGUCAACCAACAUCAUCACAAUGAGGCAAACGAUGGAAACACUCUUAGAGAUCAGAUCGCGAUGCAAAUAUGGGCUGAUUAUAACAACUAG
This 870-nucleotide ribosomal RNA is filed under the name Triticum aestivum (bread wheat). RNAcentral's name for it is "partial small subunit ribosomal RNA". Lineage: Eukaryota; Viridiplantae; Streptophyta; Magnoliopsida; Poales; Poaceae. The record is from RNAcentral.